GGGGGCCUUUGGUCUCCAGCUCUGGCCUUAACUUGCUUCUCUCACUCUGUAGGGAGUGGAAUGACCCCAGGGGCAGCCGGCUUCUCUCCCAGUGCUGCGUCAGAUGCCAGCGGCUUCAGCCCAGGUUACUCCCCUGCCUGGUCUCCCACACCGGGCUCCCCGGGGUCCCCAGGUCCCUCAAGCCCCUACAUCCCUUCACCAGGUGGUGCCAUGUCUCCCAGCUACUCGCCAACGUCACCUGCCUACGAGCCCCGCUCUCCUGGGGGCUACACACCCCAGAGUCCCUCUUAUUCCCCCACUUCACCCUCCUACUCCCCUACCUCUCCAUCCUAUUCUCCAACCAGUCCCAACUAUAGUCCCACAUCACCCAGCUAUUCACCAACGUCACCCAGCUACUCACCGACCUCUCCCAGCUACUCACCGACCUCUCCCAGCUACUCGCCCACCUCUCCCAGCUACUCGCCCACCUCUCCCAGCUACUCGCCCACCUCUCCCAGCUACUCACCCACUUCCCCUAGCUACUCGCCAACGUCUCCCAGCUACUCGCCGACAUCUCCCAGCUACUCGCCAACUUCACCCAGCUAUUCUCCCACUUCUCCCAGCUACUCACCUACCUCUCAAAG
Molecule: long non-coding RNA, 623 nt
Filed under: Pan troglodytes (chimpanzee)
Lineage: Eukaryota; Metazoa; Chordata; Mammalia; Primates; Hominidae
Description: long non-coding RNA NONPTRT006661
Source: RNAcentral